CUGGCGGCGUGCCUAACACAUGCAAGUCGAGCGAGGAGAUCCUUCGGGAUGAUCCUAGCGGCGGACGGGUGAGUAACACGUGGGCAACCUGCCUCAUAGAGAGGAAUAGCCUUCCGAAAGGGAGAUUAAUACCUCAUAACAUUGCAGUUUCGCAUGGAACAGCAAUUAAAGGAGCAAUCCGCUAUGAGAUGGGCCCGCGGCGCAUUAGCUAGUUGGUGAGGUAACGGCUCACCAAGGCGACGAUGCGUAGCCGACCUGAGAGGGUGAUCGGCCACAUUGGGACUGAGACACGGCCCAGACUCCUACGGGAGGCAGCAGUGGGGAAUAUUGCACAAUGGGGGAAACCCUGAUGCAAGCAACGCCGCGUGAGUGAUGACGGCCUUCGGGUUGUAAAGCUCUGUCUUCAGGGACGAUAAUGACGGUACCUGAGGAGGAAGCCACGGCUAACUACGUGCCAGCCGCUGC
This 465-nucleotide ribosomal RNA is filed under the name uncultured bacterium. RNAcentral describes it as "bacterial SSU rRNA". It matches the Rfam family "Bacterial small subunit ribosomal RNA", at positions 36 to 518 of the family's 1533-position model. The record is from RNAcentral.